AUUGAACGCUGGCGGCAUGCUUUACACAUGCAAGUCGAACGGCAGCGCGGGCUUCGGCCUGGCGGCGAGUGGCGAACGGGUGAGUAAUACAUCGGAACGUGUCCAGCUGUGGGGGAUAGCUCGGCGAAAGCCGGAUUAAUACCGCAUACGACCUGAGGGUGAAAGCGGGGGAGCUUCGGACCUUGCGCUAUUGGAGCGGUCGAUGCCGGAUUAGCUAGUUGGUGGGGUAAAGGCCUACCAAGGCGACGAUCUGUAGCUGGUCUGAGAGGACGACGAGCCACACUGGGACUGAGACACGGCCCAGACUCCUACGGGAGGCAGCAGUGGGGAAUUUUGGACAAUGGGCGAAAGCCUGAUCCAGCAAUGCCGCGUGUGUGAUGAAGGCCUUCGGGUUGUAAAGCCCUUUUGGCGGGAACGAAAAGGACCGUGCCAAUACCACGCUUCGAUGACGGUACCCGCAGAAUAAGCACCGGCUAACUACGUG
RNAcentral lists this ribosomal RNA (484 nucleotides) under uncultured bacterium. Its description in RNAcentral is "partial 16S ribosomal RNA". It matches the Rfam family "Bacterial small subunit ribosomal RNA", at positions 29 to 507 of the family's 1533-position model. The record is from RNAcentral.